UGAGGAAUAUUGGUCAAUGGCCGAGAGGCUGAACCAGCCAAGUCGCGUGAAGGACGAAGGAUCUAUGGUUUGUAAACUUCUUUUAUAGGGAGUAAAUGAUGCGGCAGCGUGUGCCGUUUGCUUAUGUACCCUAUGAAUAAGGAUCGGCUAACUCCGUGCCAGCAGCCGCGGUAAUACGGAGGAUCCGAGCGUUAUCCGGAUUUAUUGGGUUUAAAGGGAGCGUAGAUGGGUUGUUAAGUCAGUUGUGAAAGUUUGCGGCUCAACCGUAAAAUUGCAAUUGAUACUGGCGUCCUUGAGUACAGUUGAGGUGGGCGGAAUUCGUGGUGUAGCGGUGAAAUGCAUAGAUAUCACGCAGAACUCCGAUUGCGAAGGCAGCUGACUGUAUCGUAACUGACGCUGAAGCUCGAAAGUGUGGGUAUCGAACAGGAUUAGAUACC
RNAcentral lists this ribosomal RNA (437 nucleotides) under uncultured bacterium. RNAcentral's name for it is "bacterial SSU rRNA". It matches the Rfam family "Bacterial small subunit ribosomal RNA", at positions 355 to 786 of the family's 1533-position model. The record is from RNAcentral.